Molecule: unclassified non-coding RNA, 329 nt
Filed under: soil metagenome
Description: partial contains 5.8S ribosomal RNA, internal transcribed spacer 2, and large subunit ribosomal RNA
Rfam family: 5.8S ribosomal RNA (bases 1-120)
Source: RNAcentral
GAUGAAGAACGCAGCGAAAUGCGAUAAGUAAUGUGAAUUGCAGAAUUCAGUGAAUCAUCGAAUCUUUGAACGCACAUUGCGCCCCCUGGCAUUCCGGGGGGCAUGCCUGUUCGAGCGUCAUUACAACCCUCAAGCUCAGCUUGGUGUUGGGCCCCGCCGCCCCGGCGGGCCCUAAAGUCAGUGGCGGUGCCGUCCGGCUCCGAGCGUAGUAAUUCUUCUCGCUCUGGAGGUCCGGUCGUGUGCUCGCCAGCAACCCCCAAUUUUUUUCAGGUUGACCUCGGAUCAGGUAGGGAUACCCGCUGAACUUAAGCAUAUCAAUAAGCGGAGGA